AUUGAACGCUGGCGGCAUGCUUUACACAUGCAAGUCGAGCGGCAGCGCGGGCUUCGGCCUGGCGGCGAGUGGCGAACGGGUGAGUAAUGCAUCGGAACGUGCCCAGUAGUGGGGGAUAGCCCGGCGAAAGCCGGAUUAAUACCGCAUACGACCUGAGGGUGAAAGCGGGGGGCCGAAAGGCCUCGCGCUAUUGGAGCGGCCGAUGUCGGAUUAGCUAGUUGGUGGGGUAAAGGCUUACCAAGGCGACGAUCCGUAGCUGGUCUGAGAGGACGACCAGCCACACUGGGACUGAGACACGGCCCAGACUCCUACGGGAGGCAGCAGUGGGGAAUUUUGGACAAUGGGGGCAACCCUGAUCCAGCCAUGCCGCGUGCGGGAAGAAGGCCUUCGGGUUGUAAACCGCUUUUGUUCGGGAAGAAAUCCUCUGGGCUAAUACCCCGGGGGGAUGACGGUACCGGAAGAAUAAGCACCGGCUAACUACGUG
This 484-nucleotide ribosomal RNA is filed under the name uncultured bacterium. Its description in RNAcentral is "partial 16S ribosomal RNA". It matches the Rfam family "Bacterial small subunit ribosomal RNA", at positions 28 to 507 of the family's 1533-position model. The record is from RNAcentral.